GUGCCAGCAGCCGCGGUAAUACGUAGGUGGCAAGCGUUGUCCGGAUUUAUUGGGCGUAAAGCGAGCGCAGGCGGUCUUUUAAGUCUGAUGUGAAAGCCCCCGGCUUAACCGGGGAGGGUCAUUGGAAACUGGGAGACUUGAGUGCAGAAGAGGAGAGUGGAAUUCCAUGUGUAGCGGUGAAAUGCGUAGAUAUAUGGAGGAACACCAGUGGCGAAGGCGGCUCUCUGGUCUGUAACUGACGCUGAGGCUCGAAAGCGUGGGGAGCAAACAGGAUUAGAUACCCUGGUAGUCC
RNAcentral lists this ribosomal RNA (292 nucleotides) under uncultured microorganism. Its description in RNAcentral is "partial 16S ribosomal RNA". It matches the Rfam family "Bacterial small subunit ribosomal RNA", at positions 505 to 796 of the family's 1533-position model. The record is from RNAcentral.